RNAcentral lists this ribosomal RNA (273 nucleotides) under Aspergillus niger. Its description in RNAcentral is "partial 28S ribosomal RNA". It matches the Rfam family "Eukaryotic large subunit ribosomal RNA", at positions 331 to 611 of the family's 3401-position model. Lineage: Eukaryota; Fungi; Ascomycota; Eurotiomycetes; Eurotiales; Aspergillaceae. The record is from RNAcentral.
AGACCGAUAGCGAACAAGUAGAGUGAUCGAAAGAUGAAAAGCACUUUGAAAAGAGAGUUAAACAGCACGUGAAAUUGUUGAAAGGGAAGCGCUUGCGACCAGACUCGCCCGCGGGGUUCAGCCGGCAUUCGUGCCGGUGUACUUCCCCGUGGGCGGGCCAGCGUCGGUUUGGGCGGCCGGUCAAAGGCCCCUGGAAUGUAGUACCCUCCGGGGUACCUUAUAGCCAGGGGUGCAAUGCACCAGCCUGGACCGAGGAACGCGCUUCGGCACGGA